GGACCAUCAUGUCGGUCGUGCCUCGGUACGUACUGGUAUUGUUGGUUUCUCCCUUCUGACGAACCAUGAUGUCAUUUAUUUGGUGUUGUGGGGAAUCAGGACUGUUACUUUGAAAAAAUUAGAGUGUUCAAAGCAGGCAAUCGGGCCUUGAAUACUUCAGCAUGGGAUAAUGGAACAGGACGUUUGAUUCUAUUUUGUUGGUUUCUAGGAUCGACGUA
RNAcentral lists this ribosomal RNA (218 nucleotides) under Campeiostachys nutans. RNAcentral describes it as "Elymus nutans partial small subunit ribosomal RNA". The stretch from base 37 to 218 matches the Rfam family "Eukaryotic small subunit ribosomal RNA", at positions 684 to 864 of the family's 1831-position model. Lineage: Eukaryota; Viridiplantae; Streptophyta; Magnoliopsida; Poales; Poaceae. The record is from RNAcentral.